RNAcentral lists this ribosomal RNA (465 nucleotides) under uncultured bacterium. RNAcentral's name for it is "partial 16S ribosomal RNA". It matches the Rfam family "Bacterial small subunit ribosomal RNA", at positions 28 to 507 of the family's 1533-position model. The record is from RNAcentral.
GACGAACGCUGGCGGCGUGCUUAACACAUGCAAGUCGAACGGUAAGGCUCCAGCUUGCUGGGGUACACGAGUGGCGAACGGGUGAGUAACACGUGGGUGACCUGCCCUGCACUUCGGGAUAAGCCUGGGAAACUGGGUCUAAUACCGGAUAGGACCAUGGUGUGGAUACUGUGGUGGAAAGUUUUUUCGGUGUGGGAUGGGCCCGCGGCCUAUCAGCUUGUUGGUGGGGUAAUGGCCUACCAAGGCGGCGACGGGUAGCCGGCCUGAGAGGGUGGACGGCCACAUGGGGACUGAGAACCGGCCCAGACUCCUCCGGGGGGAAGCAGUGGGGAUUAUGGCCAAAGGGCGGAAGCCUGAUGCAGCGACGCCGCGUGGGGGAUGACGGCCUUCGGGUUGUAAACUCCUUUCACCAUCGACGAAGGGUUUCUGACGGUAGAUGGAGAAGAAGCACCGGCUAACUACGUG